GUUAAGACAUCUGAUGCCCCAGCCCUUCCUCUCAGUCUUGAACAACUGUAGCCUUUGCAUCAAUGGAUGCUGGACAACUCUAUUCAGGCAGGUUGUCUUUGAACAUCGACACCUAAAGGAAAGAGAAGGUUGGUGAAUACACUCUUGGUUGUCUACACGAAAAAGGGCACACAAUAGCUGUACAUCGAGUUGUUAAUACAAAAUAUUGACAAGAACAGGCCACUGAACAGGGUCUCAACCAGAAAAAAAUCACAUGUUCUCUCUGCAAAAUCAAACACAGAAGACGAUUCACACAACAAGAAGGUGGGUUACUCACAUUUCGGAGAUUUCCUCGUACAAGUCGGUCUCCUGAUUCUUGCCGUUUAUGAGCGGCAAACAAGGGUCCUAAUCUGGUAGAGCCUCGGUAAAUCCACUCAACACGCC
Molecule: long non-coding RNA, 423 nt
Organism: Bemisia tabaci
Lineage: Eukaryota; Metazoa; Arthropoda; Insecta; Hemiptera; Aleyrodidae
Source: RefSeq, a predicted model, not a curated record